This is a long non-coding RNA of Salvelinus fontinalis (brook trout), 352 nucleotides long. RefSeq lists it as uncharacterized. The record is from RefSeq and is a predicted model, not a curated record. NCBI's taxonomy places the organism in Eukaryota, Metazoa, Chordata, Actinopteri, Salmoniformes, Salmonidae. The transcript has 2 exons.
AGUAGAGAUUUGGAGAUUGAGAGAGAAAAAUUUGAUUGUGAUAUAGUGUGGGUUGUGUAUCAGAAAGUGUGGGGGGAAGGAGAAGGCACUUUGGGAGUGCUUAGGCAAGAGGCCCGCGGGCAUACAUAUACCCGUAGUAUAUUUACUGUCUAGGCACACUAGGUAAGACCUGGGCGGACCACCCCCUGUAUUUUGGUUAGGGCACCAGACGGUGCUAAGUUAGGUAAGUUAAGUGGGUAGGCAGGUUAGAUAGGAGAGGGGGAACUUUGAUAUUUACUUUCUUUGCUUUGGUUCCGUCCAGCCCCUUUUCCCCAUAUUACCGUGUAAGAAAAUAAAUUCUAAUAACGGUAAA